GGGUCUGUCCAUUGGUCGGGCUUCACGGUCCGUACUGGUGUGAUGGGUUCCUACCUUCUGAAUAACCAGCAUGCCAUUUAGUUGGUGCGCCGGGGAAGCAGAGCUAUUACCUUGAGAAAAUUAGAGUGUUCAAAGCGGGGCCUUGCCCGAAUACAUUAGCAUGGAAUAAUGGAAUAGGACGUGCGGUUCUAUUUCGUUGGUUUCUAGAGUCGCCGUA
RNAcentral lists this ribosomal RNA (217 nucleotides) under uncultured fungus. RNAcentral describes it as "partial small subunit ribosomal RNA". Lineage: Eukaryota; Fungi. The record is from RNAcentral.